This 253-nucleotide ribosomal RNA is filed under the name uncultured bacterium. RNAcentral describes it as "partial 16S ribosomal RNA". It matches the Rfam family "Bacterial small subunit ribosomal RNA", at positions 524 to 776 of the family's 1533-position model. The record is from RNAcentral.
UACGUAGGGUGCAAGCGUUGUCCGGAAUUAUUGGGCGUAAAGAGCUCGUAGGCGGCUUGUCGCGUCGGCUGUGAAAAUCCGGGGCUCAACCCCGGACUUGCAGUGGGUACGGGCAGACUAGAGUGUGGUAGGGGAGACUGGAAUUCCUGGUGUAGCGGUGAAAUGCGCAGAUAUCAGGAGGAACACCGAUGGCGAAGGCAGGUCUCUGGGCCACUACUGACGCUGAGAAGCGAAAGCAUGGGGAGCGAACAGG